UGGGGAAUAUUGGGCAAUGGGCGCAAGCCUGACCCAGCAAUGCCGCGUGUGUGAAGAAGGCCUGCGGGUUGUAAAGCACUUUGAGCGGGGAGGAAGGCCCCGGGGCUAACACCCCUGGGGUUUGACGUUACCCGCAGAACAAGCACCGGCUAACUCCGUGCCAGCAGCCGCGGUAAUACGGAGGGUGCGAGCGUUAAUCGGAAUUACUGGGCGUAAAGCGUGCGUAGGCGGCGCGGUCAGCCUCGCGUGAAAUCCCCGGGCUCAACCUGGGAACUGCGCGGGGAACUGCCGGGCUGGAGUGCGGGAGAGGGCGGUGGAAUUUCCGGUGUAGCAGUGAAAUGCGUAGAGAUCGGAAGGAACACCAGUGGCGAAGGCGGCCGCCUGGACCGACACUGACGCUGAGGCACGAAAGCGUGGGGAGCAAACAGG
This 429-nucleotide ribosomal RNA is filed under the name uncultured bacterium. Its description in RNAcentral is "bacterial SSU rRNA". It matches the Rfam family "Bacterial small subunit ribosomal RNA", at positions 355 to 776 of the family's 1533-position model. The record is from RNAcentral.